RNAcentral lists this ribosomal RNA (254 nucleotides) under uncultured bacterium. Its description in RNAcentral is "partial 16S ribosomal RNA". It matches the Rfam family "Bacterial small subunit ribosomal RNA", at positions 524 to 776 of the family's 1533-position model. The record is from RNAcentral.
UACAGAGACUGCAAGCGUUAUUCGGAUUCACUGGGCGUAAAGGGUGCGCAGGCGGUUGGGUGUGUCAGAUGUGAAAAUCCCGAGGCUUAACCUCGGAACUGCGUCUGAAACUACUCGACUAGAGUACUGGAGAGGGAAACGGAAUUCACGGUGUAGCAGUGAAAUGCGUAGAUAUCGUGAGGAACACCAGAGGCGAAGGCGGUUUCCUGGACAGUUACUGACGCUCAGGCACGAAAGCAUGGGGAGCAAAAGGG